RNAcentral lists this ribosomal RNA (402 nucleotides) under uncultured bacterium. Its description in RNAcentral is "bacterial SSU rRNA". It matches the Rfam family "Bacterial small subunit ribosomal RNA", at positions 355 to 774 of the family's 1533-position model. The record is from RNAcentral.
UCGGGAAUUUUGGGCAAUGGGCGAAAGCCUGACCCAGCAACGCCGCGUGAGGGAUGAAGUAUUUCGGUAUGUAAACCUCGAAAGGAUGGGAAGAAUAAAUGACGGUACCAUUUAUAAGCUCCGGCUAACUACGUGCCAGCAGCCGCGGUAAUACGUAGGGAGCAAGCGUUGUUCGGAUUUACUGGGCGUAAAGGGCGCGUAGGCGGCGCGGUAAGUCACUUGUGAAAUCUCUGAGCUUAACUCAGAACGGCCAAGUGAUACUGCUGUGCUAGAGGGCGGAAGAGGCAACCGGAAUUCUUGGUGUAGCGGUGAAAUGCGUAGAUAUCAAGAGGAACACCUGAGGCGAAGGCGGGUUGCUGGGCCGACACUGACGCUGAUGCGCGAAAGCCAGGGGAGCAAACG